Ficedula albicollis (Collared flycatcher) is the source of this 140-nucleotide long non-coding RNA. RefSeq lists it as uncharacterized. The record is from RefSeq and is a predicted model, not a curated record. Lineage: Eukaryota; Metazoa; Chordata; Aves; Passeriformes; Muscicapidae. The transcript has 3 exons.
AAAACAAGAAGACACAGGAAGGCAUCUUUUUGAAGCUUUUAAGAGAAGGGCAAAAGCAAGAAAGGACAGACUAAAUCUCUUCUUGUGAACUGAGCACAGAUCUACCCUGGAUUCUGCCAGCACAGCUAUUUCGGUCGGGA